Rhododendron vialii is the source of this 499-nucleotide long non-coding RNA. RefSeq lists it as uncharacterized. Lineage: Eukaryota; Viridiplantae; Streptophyta; Magnoliopsida; Ericales; Ericaceae. The record is from RefSeq and is a predicted model, not a curated record. The transcript is spliced from 2 exons.
UUUUUUUCGGAUUUUCGAAAAUCUAGUUCCGAUCGAAGACGAACGACAACACGACGAAGCUCUAACGUAGGAAGGGCAGAAAAGAGGUUCUAUUAUGUUGUUUUUGUUGGAAAAGUCCCCGGAAUUUAUGAAAGUUGGAUAGCUUGUAGCGAACAAGUAACUUGCUUCUCUGGGGCUGUGUUUAAAAAAUAUCCCUCAUUGGAAGAGGCAAAUAAUGCUUGGACUACAUAUGUUGAAGCUCAUUCCAAUGUGCAAUUGCUGUCUCUUCAACUUGCUCAACUCCGGAUCGAUUAUCCGCCUUUGCUUGUACCUAUGCAAGCAAACAUGGAUGACCAAACUUCUUUUAAGCUGCCCAAAUAUUGCAUGUACAUUGCAAUGCUCUUACUUGGAGCUGUAAUAGGAAUUUUAAUUUUGUUGGUCAUCAUGUAUUUUUUCUUUUAGUUGGUUUAUGUAAUGGUUAUGUUGAACAAAAUUUCUAGCUUUUGAUGUGUAUAAAUUU